Molecule: ribosomal RNA, 301 nt
Filed under: uncultured bacterium
Lineage: Bacteria
Description: partial 16S ribosomal RNA
Rfam family: Bacterial small subunit ribosomal RNA
Source: RNAcentral
CAGUCGCCGCGGUAAUACGUAGGUGGCAAGCGUUGUCCGGAAUUAUUGGGCGUAAAGGGCUCGCAGGCGGUUUCUUAAGUCUGAUGUGAAAGCCCCGGCUCAACCGGGGAGGGUCAUUGGAAACUGGGAAACUUGAGUGCAGAAGAGGAGAGUGGAAUUCCACGUGUAGCGGUGAAAUGCGUAGAGAUGUGGAGGAACACCAGUGGCGAAGGCGACUCUCUGGUCUGUAACUGACGCUGAGGAGCGAAAGCGUGGGGAGCGAACAGGAUUAGAUACCCCUGUAGUCCCUGUCUCUUAUACA